CCUACGGGAGGCAGCAGUGGGGAAUAUUGCACAAUGGGGGAAACCCUGAUGCAGCGACGCCGCGUGAGUGAAGAAGUAUCUCGGUAUGUAAAGCUCCAUUUGCAGGGAAGAAAAUGACGGUACCUGAUUAAGAAGCCCCGGCUAACUACGUGCCAGCAGCCGGGGUACUACGGAGGGGGCCGGCGUUAUCCGGAUUUACUGGGUGUAAUGGGAGCGUAGACGGUAUAACAUGUCAGUGGUGAAAUGACGGGGCUUACCCCCGGAACUGUUUUGGAAACUGUGCGGCUAGAGUGCAGGGGGGGUAGGUGGAAUGCGUGGUGUAGCGGUGAAAUGCAUAGAUAUCAGGAAGAACACCAGUUGCGAAGGCAGCUUACUGAACUGUAACUGACGUUGAGGCACGAAAGCGUGGGGAGCAAACAGGAUUAGAUACCCCAGUAGUC
RNAcentral lists this ribosomal RNA (440 nucleotides) under uncultured bacterium. Its description in RNAcentral is "partial 16S ribosomal RNA". It matches the Rfam family "Bacterial small subunit ribosomal RNA", at positions 338 to 795 of the family's 1533-position model. The record is from RNAcentral.